This is a non-coding RNA of Meleagris gallopavo (turkey), 46 nucleotides long. The record is from Rfam. NCBI's taxonomy places the organism in Eukaryota, Metazoa, Chordata, Aves, Galliformes, Phasianidae.
CAUAUGGUUCUACUCAGAACCCCAAAUUGAACCAAAGGUGGUUUUU